CGUGCAGGCGGCUUGUCAGGUCCGAUGUGAAAGCCCCGGGCUCAACCCGGGAAGCGCAUUGGAAACCGGCAGGCUUGAAUACGGGAGAGGGCAGUGGAAUUCCUGGUGUAGGGGUGAAAUCCGCAGAUAUCAGGAAGAACACCUGUGGCGAAGGCGGCUGCCUGGACCGAUAUUGACGCUGAGACGCGAAAGCGUGGGGAGCAAACAGGAUUAGAUACCCUGGUAGUCCACGCCGUAAACGAUGAGUACUAGGUGUUGCGGGUAUUGACCCCUGCAGUGCCGCAGCUAACGCAUUAAGUACUCCGCCUGGGAAGUACGGCCGCAAGGCUAAA
This 332-nucleotide ribosomal RNA is filed under the name uncultured bacterium. RNAcentral's name for it is "bacterial SSU rRNA". It matches the Rfam family "Bacterial small subunit ribosomal RNA", at positions 568 to 898 of the family's 1533-position model. The record is from RNAcentral.